RNAcentral lists this ribosomal RNA (500 nucleotides) under uncultured Rikenellaceae bacterium. RNAcentral describes it as "bacterial SSU rRNA". It matches the Rfam family "Bacterial small subunit ribosomal RNA", at positions 903 to 1382 of the family's 1533-position model. The record is from RNAcentral. Lineage: Bacteria; Pseudomonadati; Bacteroidota; Bacteroidia; Bacteroidales; Rikenellaceae.
GCCUUGCCAGCCCGCUCAGAAACUUAAAGGAAUGAGGGGCCCGGCACAAGCGGAGGAACAUGUGGUUAAUUCGAUGAUACACGAGGAACUUACCUGGGCUAGAACGCAAUCGGAAUCAGGCCGAAAGGCCUGCGCCAGCGAUGGCCGGUUGCGAGGUGCUGCAUGGUUGUCGUCAGCUCGUGCCGUGAGGUGUCGGGUUAAGUCCCAUAACGAGCGCAACCCCUACUGCUAGUUGCCAGCGGGUCAUGCCGGGGACUCUAGCGGAACUGCCAGCGUAAGCUGCGAGGAAGGUGGGGAUGACGUCAAAUCAGCACGGCCCUUACGUCCAGGGCUACACACGUGUUACAAUGGCCAGUACAGAGGGCAGCCACCCCGCGAGGGGGCGCUAAUCCUAAAAGCUGGUCCCAGUUCGGAUCGGAGUCUGCAACCCGACUCCGUGAAGCUGGAUUCGCUAGUAAUCGCGCAUCAGCCAUGGCGCGGUGAAUACGUUCCCGGGCCUU